ACUUUUAUACAAACUGUACAUUCAUUCUUUCAUCACAAUGUGGAAAGUCAACUUGCUACAUUGUGGUAUAAAUAUGGAAAUGAUGUCAUCCUAGUAGAAAAAUACAGACAUCAAUGCCUAACUUGUUACAGGAAUACAAAAAAGGAUCACUAAUCAAAUGUGACUGUAAACUGCUUUGAAAAAAAUCCUACAAAAUCUUGACACACUUGUGAAUCCUAAAAGGGAGCUGAAACAAUGACUAAGAAUAAAUACAAGAUACUGUUGUGGAAAUGACAAUCAAACGUGAUGUUUGUCAAGCUGCAGUUUCUGCAUUUCCGGAUGGGGUUAAUACUCUAAUAAUGUAUGCACUUUAAACACGCUUCUUUGUGUAACAUGUUUAUACAACACGCUUCUUUGUGUCACAUGUUUAUGUGAGAGGAUUGUUUGUGUGUGUCCUUCAGCUGCUGGUGUGCACGUAGGUGUUCUCUAUGCACAGCACCAUGUAUUGCUGGGAGCAGGAUCGGGUGUGUUGGCCCAGCAGGCGUCCCGUCUGAAGCAGCCCCGCCUGGCCCGUCACCGCCAUGUCGUCGGUCCGCCACGCUUCGCAGUAGUUUGUGGUAGCGCGGAUUCCUGCGGCGCUGGAACCGUGCCAGAUCAGCUUCUCGGGCCUGGAACACACACACGUACACACACAUGGCAAGAUUCGGACUUUUCGACCACAUAAAAUUGGCUACCACUGACAGACAGGAUGAGGUCCCGGGUUGAAUCCCCAACAUUUCUACUACAGAGGCAUUUUUCUCAGGUCUUAAGAAGCUCCUGUCCAACACACACACCUUCAACACCUCUUCAAGAGACCUUGUCUCUGGACCUACCUGACUGUGUGGUCUGCUCUUCUCUCCGGCUCUGCUCUGGCUCUCAAAGGCUGACUCAGAAUGGAUCAUCUCCCCGAGCUAAGCACAACACACACACACACACUGUGAUGGACCAGUCUGGGUUUGGAGCUUGCCAGGAGAACGCUACAUUUCGGACUGCAUUGUGCCCAGUGUGACAUUUGGUGGAGGUGGAAUUUUCAGGAGUUAGUUCCAGUGAAAGGAACUUUAAAUGCUUCCAACAUGACUGUGCACAAUAAGCAAGGUCCAUAAAGAUAUUCAUGUCAGAGUCUGGUGCGGAUGAACUUGACUGGCCUGCACAGAGUCCUGACCUGAACCCAGAUAGAACACCUUUGGGAUGAAUUAGAGCAGAGACUUUUCAUUCUGAAACAUAUGUUUGAUUCAUUGUCAACAUUCCAUAUCUCCAUUAUGUGGCAGCUUGGAUUUUCCCUCUUUGGUGUCGCUUCCUGUCUCGCGCUCUUCUUUUGGCGGCACUUCCUGUUAUGUUGGGAGUGUUUUCCUGACCGCUUCACACGUCUUUCUCUGAACACUGACGCACGCACCUGUACUUUGUCUUAGCAAUCACUUCUAUUUGGGUGUGAGCCGCCGUUCUUUGUUUAGAAUGUGGGCGCUCUUUCCCUCCCGCCGUGAGUUUUGCUGUGUUCCAGCAUUCCGUUUUGAUGUUUUGCAACCUGUCCGUUUGGUUUUUGCAUCGCCUUCCCUGUGCUUCGCUGCCUUCCUAGCCACAUUAAAUACUUUUACCUGCACCUCUGCAAUUUGGGAACGCACCACUAAAUAUACUAAAAUGUAUUAAUUCAUACAAAUAGUAUAAAUACAACAAAAAUUAAAGCUGCAAGCAGCGUUGGUCGGGUCCGCCUUUGGCUGCUGCCGGCGCUACUCAAGCCCUGGUCUAAGUCAGAUCAACAUAGAGGUUUUUGUUUCAUGUCUCUACGACAUUCCUAACAGAAGUUACAAGCAGUUUUGUCGGUUUUUUCUUAGGGGGCGCUAGAGCGCAUUUUUGAUUUUUGGGGUUUUGUUUUUUAUUAGAUGGCAAUUUUCGCCAGUCCUAAUGUGUGUGUAAAAUUUGGUGAGUUUUGAAGCAUGUUAAGGGGGUGAAUAGUAGUGCUUUAACUUGCACCUUGAAGCAUUUUAAGGGGGUCAAAUUACAGCUCAAAGAGGCAAAAAUGACAUUUUUUAGGAAAAUUUGCGCAGGUUUUUUUGAUGGCGCGUGAAAUCCAAACCGGAGCAGUAAUCAAAACUCUUUCGAUAACUUUUAAUUAGAAGGGUUCAAACUCUCUUCUGUGCGAGUUUGAAGCUGAAACGACAAACUCGCUCAGAGGAGAUAACGUUUGAAAAAGGUGACGGGUGUUUACAAAACUUUUAUUUUGAAGGGGUAAUUUUUAACUUCCUGUUAAUUUUUGCUGAAGGAUGUUGAUCAUUAAAAUGUAGGUCUAAGUGAGACCUAAAUGGAUGUUUUUGUUUCAUGUCUUUCCGACAUUCCUACGGGAAGUUACAAGCAGUUUUGUCUGUGUUUUCUUCCUAGGAGCAGUUUUUUCUGUGUUUUUUUCAAAAAUUGCGCUAGAGCGCAGUUUUGGGGUUUGGUUUUUGUCAUAUCGCAAUUUUUGCCAGUCCUGAUGUGUGUGCCAAGUUUGGUGAGUUUUGAAGCAUUUUAAGGGGGUCAAAUUACAGCUCAAAGAGGCAAAAAUGACAUUAUUUAGGAAAAUUUGCGCAGGUUUUUUUGAUGGCGCGUAAAAUCCAAACCGGAGCAGUAAUCAAAACUCUUUUGAUAACUUUUAAUUAGAAGGGUUCAAACUCUCUUCUGUGCGAGUUUGAAGCUGAAACGACAAACUCGCUCAGAGGAGAUAACGUUUGAAAAAGGUGACGGGUGUUUACAAAACUUUUAUUUUGAAGGGGUAAUUUUUAACUUCCUGUUGAUUUUUGCUGAAGGAUGUUGAUCAUUAAAAUGUAGGUCUAAGUGAGACCUACAUGGAUGUUUUUGUUUCAUGUCUUUCCGACAUUCCUACGGGAAGUUAUAAGCAGUUUUGUCUGUGUUUUCUUCCUAGGAGCAGUUUUUUCUGUGUUUUUUUCAAAAAUUGCGCUAGAGCGCAGUUUUGGGGUUUGGUUUUUGUCAUAUCGCAAUUUUUGCCAGUCCUGAUGUGUGUGCCAAGUUUGGUGAGUUUUGAAGCAUUUUAAGGGGGUCAAAUUACAGCUCAAAGAGGCAAAAAUGACAUUAUUUAGGAAAAUUUGCGCAGGUUUUUUUGAUGGCGCGUAAAAUCCAAACCGGAGCAGUAAUCAAAACUCUUUUGAUAACUUUUAAUUAGAAGGGUUCAAACUCUCUUCUGUGCGAGUUUGAAGCUGAAACGACAAACUCGCUCAGAGGAGAUAACGUUUGAAAAAGGUGACGGGUGUUCACAAAACUUUUAUUUUGAAGGGGUAAUUUUUAACUUCCUGUUGAUUUUUGCUGAAGGAUGUUGGUCAUUAAAAUGUAGGUCUAAGUGAGACCUACAUGGAUGUUUUUGUUUCAUGUCUUUCCGGCAUUCCUACGGGAAGUUACAAGCAGUUUUGUCUGUGUUUUCUUCCUAGGAGCAGUUUUUUCUGUGUUUUUUUCAAAAAUUGUGCUAGAGCGCAGUUUUGGGGUUUGGUUUUUUCAUUAUAUCGCAAUUGUUGCCAGUCUUGAUGUGUGUGCCAAGUUUGGUGAGUUUUGAAGCAUUUUAAGGGGGUCAAAUUACAGCUCAAAGAGGCAAAAAUAGCAUUUUUUUCGAAAAUGUUGCUUUGAAGAGUUUUUGCCAACUUCCUGUUGAUUUUUGCUAUAGAAGUUUAAAUUGGGAAAUGUAGGUCUAAGUCAGACCUACAUAGAGGUUUUUGUUUCAUGUCUCUACGACAUUCCUAACGGAAGUUGCAAGCAGUCUUUUUUUUUUUCUUCCUAUGGGGCGCUAGAGCGCAUUUUUGAUUUUUGGGGUUUGGUUUUUUUUAUUAGAUGGCAAUUUUCGCCAGUUCUGAUGAGUGUGUGAAAUUUGGUGAGUUUUGAAGCAUGUUCAGGGGGUUAAAUUAAAGUUCAAAGAGGCGUCGGAAUAAUAAUAAAUAAAGAAUAAUAAAACGCACGAAAAACAAUAGGUCCUUUGGCAAUGGGCCAUGCGGGCCCUAAUAAAAAUGAGGAGAUAAUAAAAAUGUGAGGACCAAAUUGCGUGUGUACGCUUCAACUGCGGCACAUCACUACUAUCAUCCAAAAAAAGUGAAGCCAAAUACGAAUAAAUACAAUAAACAUGUAAUUAUGUAAAUACAUUAGAUUGAUAUUGUUCUUUUCCCAGAGAAGUGACAAGCCACCAUUCAUGUGGUGGUAGCUAAGCUACAUUGGGCUAGACCGGGGGUCAGAAACCUGCGGCUCUUUAGCGCCGCCCUAGUGGCUCCCUGGACCACUUUCAGAGACGUGUGAAAAGGGAAAAAGACGAAGACAAAAAUAUAUUUUUUGUUCUAAUAUGGUUUAUGACACAAAUCUCCUUCAUUGUUAGAAAUCUCAAUGUUUAUAUUAAACAUGUGCAAGCUACGUUUUGUCCUACUAAUUUCAGCAACCCUUGAACUCAUCGGAGUUUGUUUACAUGUACAACUUUCUCCAGAAUGACCUGUUUUAUGCCACUCCUUCUUUGUCUCAUUUCGUCCACCAAACAUUUUAUACUGUGCGUCAAAGGUGAGCUUUGUUGAUGUUAUUGACUUGUUGGAGUGCUCAUCAAACAUAUUUGGUGACUGCAUGACAUAUUGCAUCACUAUGCUAUAUUUGAACUCAUUUAAUAUCCUAUACUUAGGUCCUCUGUGUAUUUAAUUUGUAUUUGCAUGUUUCAUGACACAUUUUCUGUAUGUAAUAAUGGCUGCGUUUCUCAUAGUUGUUUGUGCGCCAUGAUGUUCCAGACCACAGCAAACGUUGGCGAGCUUGCAAAGCUCGUAAUAAAUAUGUUGUUUCCUUUAACUUGGACACACACAUCUAUACUUUUGGUUAUUCUGAGCCAGUCAUUUCCAGGAGUCAUGGUGUUCCAACCCGUCUGUCACGGGCCUGCUUCCUGACCAUGUCUCUGCCCUUAGGGCCCCUCCUCAUUCCAUACCUGGACCUGGCGCCAGCCGCCGUGGGAUCUGAUGUACAGAUGUCCGCCGCCCUCAGACACGUAGGCCAGGGUUCCCUCUGCAGCCCUCUGGGUGUCUCUGGUCAGAGCAUGGACUGUCUUGUAGGUGCUCACCUGGGCAGGUCGGGCCCAGAGGACAAAGCCUGGAGGUGGAACCGGAAGCUCUCGCUCUCACCCCACGACGGUAGAACAGCCCUGCUGGCCCCUGGAUGCCGCUGGGGCCCAUGUUUCCCUUUGGCCCUCUGGGACCCUGGGACGGGAAAAAGAAUCCAGGAGGAGAACUGCCUGACAGGAGUUUCGUACAAUGUCUUCUAGGGUGGGCUGAGGGCGGCCGAUAAUCUUCUCCGUUGUCCUGGUCACCCUCAGUGUUAUCAACAACAACCGAUGUCAAGGCAGACUGAAGUAUUUACCCUGGAACACAAUCAGUCGGACUUAGGACAAGACUGAGCCUUCAACCGGAAGUACAAGUCCAUAGCACUGAUUCUUCAUUCAUCACUCCGAGCGACGUUUUUUUGGAAAUCCACCAAGAGGCCACCGUGGAGUUAUUGAGUCUGUUCGGCUGAUUGGAGAGCUAGCUUGCCAUGACUUCUGUUUUGUUUGAUCAGCCGUUUUACUGCCGCGUUACAGACGCAGUUUGGAAAGAAUUAAGAUGGAGAAUUCAUCACAAGCGCCUUUCCGUGUCUUUCUCGCCAUCCCCGGCUCUAAGUUGGAUGCCAAAUUGGACCAACCUCCACCUUCUACUAUCCAGGUGACUCACUGGUGCUCCCGGUUGGCCGUUGACUCCGUCUUUUCCCGGGGCCCCGGUUGGCCCGGCAUAGGUGUGAAAGAGGCCCUGGUCAACGCCACCUGAGGAUGGGUGGGGCCCAGGAAGACCAGGUGGUCCUGGAGGCCCUGGCAGCCCAGGGGGCCCCUAGGAGACACGGUACAAGGAAUGUUGACCACUACU
Nerophis ophidion (straightnose pipefish) is the source of this 5906-nucleotide long non-coding RNA. RefSeq lists it as uncharacterized. The transcript has 11 exons. The record is from RefSeq and is a predicted model, not a curated record. Lineage: Eukaryota; Metazoa; Chordata; Actinopteri; Syngnathiformes; Syngnathidae.